AACGAACGCUGGCGGCAUGCCUAACACAUGCAAGUCGAACGAGACCUUCGGGUCUAGUGGCGCACGGGUGCGUAACGCGUGGGAACCUGCCCUUAGGUUCGGAAUAACUCCCCGAAAGGGGUGCUAAUACCGGAUAAUGUCUUCGGACCAAAGAUUUAUCGCCUUUGGAUGGGCCCGCGUUGGAUUAGCUAGUUGGUAGGGUAAAAGCCUACCAAGGCGACGAACCAUAGCUGGUCUGAGAGGACGAUCAGCCACACUGGGACUGAGACACGGCCCAGACUCCUACGGGAGGCAGCAGUGGGGAAUAUUGGACAAUGGGCGAAAGCCUGAUCCAGCAAUGCCGCGUGAGUGAUGAAGGCCUUAGGGUUGUAAAGCUCUUUUACCCGGGAUGAUAAUGACAGUACCGGGAGAAUAAGCUCCGGCUAACUCCGUG
This 433-nucleotide ribosomal RNA is filed under the name uncultured bacterium. RNAcentral describes it as "partial 16S ribosomal RNA". It matches the Rfam family "Bacterial small subunit ribosomal RNA", at positions 29 to 507 of the family's 1533-position model. The record is from RNAcentral.